UCGGGGAUCGUCUAAUGGCAGGACAGCGGUUUCUGGUGCCGCGAAUCUAGGUUCGAAUCCUAGUCCCCGAACCA
This 74-nucleotide transfer RNA is filed under the name Deltaproteobacteria bacterium. Its description in RNAcentral is "tRNA-Gln". It matches the Rfam family "tRNA". From Rfam's summary of the family: Transfer RNA (tRNA) molecules are approximately 80 nucleotides in length. Their secondary structure includes four short double-helical elements and three loops (D, anti-codon, and T loops). Lineage: Bacteria; Pseudomonadati; Myxococcota; Myxococcia. The record is from RNAcentral.